Non-coding RNA from Anas platyrhynchos (mallard), 2127 nucleotides. The record is from RefSeq and is a predicted model, not a curated record. Lineage: Eukaryota; Metazoa; Chordata; Aves; Anseriformes; Anatidae.
GAUUCCACACCGACUGAUAAAAAUGGUUCACAUCUAGGUCCAUUAACUGCCGUGCAGAUGUUUUGCCUUCGUAGCCUUAAAAUCUGUUGUAGAGAAAGCUGCAAUAAAAUGCUCUGUUGUGAUAAAUUGCAACUUCAACAACAGAAAGCGUGCGGCCUUUACCCGGUGCUCUGCUGAACACAGAAAGGUGAGGUCAGUUCCAGGGAGCGCAAGCAUCCUAACCUUACCCAUAAAAGCUCUCUUUUCCUAGCAAAACAAGCUCUAGACAGCAAAGUAAGCAGCUUCCUAACAGCAAAGGAUCACGGCACCAAGACCCCUGUCCCCAGCUGCCCUGUGCCCGGGACAGCAAGGCCGCAGGAGGGGAGCUCUGGGCCCAGGGCCUGGCAGGCCCUGCCGGCCAUCCUGCACCUGGCAGGCCAAUCAAGUGUUUUGUCUGACAAAAAAAAACAGUUAUUUUUUACCAUAAAAAGAAAAUAAAUCAUUUAAUUCAUUGCUGGUUUUGCACGGUCUUAUUCUGGUGUUCUUCAAUGCCUGACCUGCCCCUCAGCCAUACCUGUCUGUGGAGCUGAGAGAAGAAAAAAACUCUGAGAAAUUUAAAAUUGAUUUUUCUUUCAGUGCUUCCCAGGGGUAGAGGUUUAUCAGACUCAAGCUUUGCGUUUAUUUCGUGGAAAAAUAAAACCGUAUUUCAUACGAAUAUUUUUAUAUGGGCAGCUGUGACAGUGCUUCACCCCCAAACACCAUCGGCAGCUCCUGUAACCAGUCUCCUUGUUUUCCCUUCGCAUUCCGCUUGUGUCACUAUGUCAGAGUGUUGCACAAAUGCCUGUUAUUUACUAUCAGUUAUAGCCGUGUAUUAUGCUACAGCAAACUAACACGUGUCAAGCAAAGCUGCCUCCUGGUUGACGAAGCACCAUAUUUUCUGUCAGGCCAGACAGCACAGUAGAAAAGGCAAGAAGCGAAUUGUAAGGCGGAGUGAGCAACAUGGAUGCAAACAAUUCUGUCAUACGCAGCAUCUCGUGGUGCUUGGUAAAAGCUCAGCUUUCUGGUUCACUUCUGUAUCUCAGACUCAUUCAUGUCCUCACUAGGAAACCGAGAACAACUGUGAUUUUCACGUUGUUAACUUCCUGAAUCUGUUCUCCAAUUUCUACUUCUCCAGAUCUAUGUUUGCAAAGACGCCUGUCACCGGCUCGGCAGAGCAUUUUCUGUGACACUGCUUUAAUUCACCUCUGCCAAGAUCAUCUUCUGACUACAGCAAAAGCCUUGUGCUGCGACCGGUACAGAAGGACCUACAAACCUGCCCAGGGCGACACAGAAACCUGCCAUCGUGCUGGAACCGAUGGGAUGUUCUCAUAAGAUGAUGCAAGAGUUUCAACAGACAACUGAGCAACGUAGUUUGUCCAAUAUCAGUGAGCAAGAGAAAGCAAGACAACCGUCCUAUUUCUCCAAAAGAAGAAAACCAAACUUGAAAUCACAUCAAUACCCAGUGAAAAACAAAACCAGAUUUGUUCACAGAAGUUAAGGCAAGCAUGUUAUUCAACGCCGGAAUUAAGGAAACGCAUCCUGCUAUGUAUACAGCAAAGUUGAAACGCAUCCAAAAUCUUAUCAGAGGGAGACGGGCUACGAGAGACUGGCUUUGCCUCAAAACAAGAAGCGAAUCCAAAAGGCAGCCCUGCCAAUCUCACGGUCUGAGUGGGACUCGGGCAGGUGAGCCCCACGAAGCUGGCCUGCAGCUCCCUGCCCCAAAGGGCCAUGCUGUGGCUCCAUCCCAUGCCCAAGCACCUGAUGGAGCUGGUGGGGACCUCGGGUCAGAGGCACGGGUGUGUGAGGACUGAAGAAAGUGAUGGAUCUGAUAAACAUGCCUGUUAUCCUCAGCGAUUUCAAGUAUACAGACAGUCUCCAAACCCAGAAUUUUCUUAAGCACUGCUGCAGUGUUGGUUGCCACUUGAUCCCAACUAACGCAAGUGGCACCAGUGGAGGCAACACGAAGGAAGGAAGAGGAUGCAGGCUUUCCAGAUCUCCAAGGCAAAAAUGAUGGAUGUUAAGAAAGGAAGAAUGACACCUGUGGAUUCUGGUGGAGGAAAAAGAGUGAAGGCUUAACAGUUUUUGUGCUCUUAGCUUAUAUGAAUGAGG